GAUGAACGCUGGCGGCGUGCUUAACACAUGCAAGUCGAACGAUAAAGCCCAGCUUGCUGGGUGGAUUAGUGGCGAACGGGUGAGUAACACGUGAGUAACCUGCCCUUGACUCUGGGAUAAGCCCGGGAAACUGGGUCUAAUACCGGAUAGGAGCGCCUGUCGCAUGACGGGUGUUGGAAAGAUUUUUCGGUCAUGGAUGGACUCGCGGCCUAUCAGCUUGUUGGUGAGGUAAUGGCUCACCAAGGCGACGACGGGUAGCCGGCCUGAGAGGGUGACCGGCCACACUGGGACUGAGACACGGCCCAGACUCCUACGGGAGGCAGCAGUGGGGAAUAUUGCACAAUGGGCGGAAGCCUGAUGCAGCGACGCCGCGUGAGGGAUGACGGCCUUCGGGUUGUAAACCUCUUUCAGUAGGGAAGAAGCGAAAGUGACGUACCUGCAGAAGAGCC
Molecule: ribosomal RNA, 449 nt
Filed under: Micrococcus sp. oral taxon F54
Lineage: Bacteria; Bacillati; Actinomycetota; Actinomycetes; Micrococcales; Micrococcaceae
Description: bacterial SSU rRNA
Rfam family: Bacterial small subunit ribosomal RNA
Source: RNAcentral